UGUCUCGUGAUGGGUGAGGGUUGAGGGCAUGCUGAUUGGGUUGUGGGGUAUCACAUGUGUGGUGGCCUGUGCGGUGCUGUGUUGCGUGCGUGUGUGCGUGGUGUGGUGUUCGUGUGGUGGUUGAGAACUGUAUAGUGGAUGCGAGUAUCUUUAUUGUUGUAUGUGUUUGUGCGACGUGGUGUUGUGCAAAGUUGUGUAGUGCGAUCGGUGGAUGCCUUGGCACCAAGAGCCGAUGAAGGACGUUGUGACCUGCGAUAAGCCCUGGGGAGUUGGUGAGCGAGCUGUGAUCCGGGGGUGUCCGAAUGGGGAAACCUGG
RNAcentral lists this unclassified non-coding RNA (316 nucleotides) under Cutibacterium acnes. RNAcentral describes it as "contains 16S-23S intergenic spacer region". The stretch from base 185 to 316 matches the Rfam family "Bacterial large subunit ribosomal RNA", at positions 1 to 131 of the family's 2925-position model. Lineage: Bacteria; Bacillati; Actinomycetota; Actinomycetes; Propionibacteriales; Propionibacteriaceae. The record is from RNAcentral.